UCAGAGAGGUUGUAAGUAAAGAAGUUGCAGCAAACAGUUAAGAGUUUAUGGAAUUUCAGAUGACCAAAACAUCCACAGCAUACUCGGUAGUAGGGAGUGCUGCGGCUUUCUACUUCCAUGAAUGGGAUCUACUGUUGAAGCAUAUUGUUCCCCACUGAUCCAGCACUGCAGGGGGUUGUUAGUGAGGCUCUACCUUUCACGGACGUCCUGUAAUGCAUUUUGAGUGACAACCAGCCAAGAGUCAAUCCUGCCAUCUUUGCUGCAAACACAUUAAUGUUGUCAGAUAUAAUCAGGGAAGAAAGUUGUUUAUCCUCUGUCGUGUUUCUGAAGAGCAAAUGUCAAGGUGUGCUUUGAAUGGAUGUCUCCAGAUGCAAAACAGACAUCAUCUUGAAAUCCUAUUAUGGCAUCCUGACAGCUCAUUUGUUAAUUUUCUCCUCAUCAAGUCUAGAAUAUGGCGUGUGGAUGAGGAGCUUAGGUGGAAGAAACAAUGCUUCCAGUUUGCUAUAAAUGUGUCUCAUCCUUAAAACUGGGACAAUUGGCUAAUGUGUUUGUUUGUGAUGAGACACAUUGUCCUACAUGCAGACAAAUACAUACCCCUGCCAACACUCCUUUUGUGCAAUCUCCAGCUAAGCUUCAAUACUAUAAUAUGCAAGUUAAAGAGAAAAUGCAGCCCAGUUCUUGGCAAAGAGGCAGUGCGAACUGUAUUCUGCAGUUAGUCUUCAAAAUAAAUCCAUGAUGAAUGAGAGUGUUCUGACCUGGUUGGUUGUCAUUAAAGGUAUAAUACAAGAGCAUUACUGCUGCUUCAGGAGGCUUGGUGUAUUGGAAAGGAAGCCUCAGAUUCCUGAUGUGCUUUUACCCAGAAAGUGAUUAAGCAAAUCUUACGUAGUGUACUGCAAAGGAACAUUAUCAAAUAAACACAGCCAAUAUCUGCUUAUUCAAGCUGCUGAACGUAUUUUGAACCAUUCUUUAUUUUCAGAAAACACAGAAUGACUCUCACACUAGAACUGAGUGCCUGUCAGUCUCAUUCUUCACUUCAUCAGUGGAGUACUAGCUUUCCUUUUUUCAGCAAUCAUGUCACAGCAAAUACAUUUGGCUGAUAGUAUUCUAAGUGUUUGAGCCAUUGUGUAGCAAUCCAGAUUUGACAAGUACAAAUCAGGAGCAAACCUUUAUGGCCCAACUUUACAAACCUUGAGAGGAUGUUUUUCUCAGAUGUUUUGCUUUGUACUAAUUGAUCAAACCUUCGACAGUGCCAUCGGUGAAAGUGUCAAGGUGUCAGUAACAGGGGGAUUUGACAGGGUGUGAUGACACAGGAACACAAAAAGUCGGGAAUGGAUUUUCUGGUUUCGUACACAAUAUACAUUCAAAGAUCACAUGCCAUCAACAGUCUGAAUAUGUGUCAUGUGAAAUAUUGAUUUUUGGAGCCUCACAAACACCAAACACACCAAACAAGUUGAGUCCAUCCUUUAAAUUGCCAUUCUGUUUAAAGUGUGCGAAGAAUGAGGGAGAACCAGAAAAGAUGAAUCCAUCAAAAAAUCUCUGAAAAGCCCCCCUCAGCAUUUAAAGGGGAAAAAAAGGCAUGAAAUAACCAGUGAGGUUAGGUGAAAGGGGUUUAAAUAAUUCAAAACACUGAGCACCAAGCAUUCACAAUUCUUUCAACUUGGUUAAGAAGGUUUACCAUACUUGCUUUUUAAAAAAUCAAUUAUUGCUGUAGUCCUAUAUCUAAGAUACACUCAAACAUGACUGAAUCACACUUUAUCAAACUUCUCCUAGUUGGUCUGACAUACCUAAAUUAUGUGGUUGGGGGUUGAUUUUUCUCCUCAGCGUUUACACCUCAGUCAAACUGAAACAGGCCUGAGUGAUCAACACAUGCUCCCGUCUGCAUGCCAAGCUUCAACCGGCAAGUUGGCUUUGGAUCAAGAAGGGCGAUAAAUGGUUUAGUGCGCUGCUUGGACACAAGUCGGGGUCUGAUCAGCCCCGGCUGGGUCGCCCAGGUGAGGGUGUCUGAUGAUCCAAGACCCGAAACACCCCGUGACCCUGGGUUCAUCACUGAAGAUGUGUCCAAGCUGCACCACUAAGGUGUUUGUUAAAACUAUCUACAUCUGGCAUAGCCAGUGACUUCCAGGAAAGGCUGGAUGACGACUACGAAUAGUGUAGUGACAACUGGAGAGACAGUGGACAGCUCGGAGAGACGGCACCAGGGGCAGCAAGGGUUAGCACCCCGAGCUGCAGCUCCCGUGAGGGAGCACCCAACUAAGCUACAGAAAGCCCUAAUGAAAGAUACCCCCAGGGGUGCCCGAGAGGGGGGGAGGAUGAGCACCCCACACGGAUGGAUUUACUGGCAAGGAAUAUGAGCAAUGGAUUACCGACAACAAGAGUAACCUGUAUGUGUGGCAAGAGCUGCAAGAAUCUCAAAGGUCCGAAGAUCCAUCAGACCAAGAUGGGCUGCUCGAGGAGGAAGCAAGCUGAACAACGCACAGAGGCAGUGCAUAGCACGGCCUCUGGUGAGACGAAGGAGGAGCCGGACCGGGAGUCAACCCACAGUGUCCAGAACCUCCAAGCUCAGUGCGCUCCACCCAGCAAUCCAACCGAACAUCGCAGGGUCUUGUGGCCAGCUGCACAUAAGGAGACUGAGUGGCGCCAGUUCGAUGAAGAUGCAGAUGCCGCUCUGGAAGCGUCAUCAAAGGGGGGAGUGGACCAGCAGCUUCAAACGAUGUGCACCUUCAUCAUCUGCAUCGGUGCUGAGCGAUUUGGGAUCAAACAGCCAAAGGCUAAGACAACAGCAAGACCAAACCGGCGAGAGAACAAGAUCACUGCACUCAGGAGAGACCUGAAGACCCUGAAAAAGCAAUUCAAGAAGGCCAGCGAGGAAGAAAGGCCCGCCCUGGCUGAGCUCCGAGCCAUCCUCAGGAAGAAGCUCAUUUCCCUACGUCGCGCUGAGUGGCACAGGAGGAAGGGUAGAGAGAGGGCCCGCAAGCGCACUGCUUUCAUAGCUGACUCUUUCGGGUUUACGAAGAAGCUGCUAGGGCAAAAGCGGAGUGGGACCCUUAUGUGCCCAGAAGACGGCAUCAACCGCCAUCUCUCAGAAACCUACAGCGACAGGCAAAGGGAAGAAGACCUUGGCCCCUGCAGAGAGCUAAUUACACCACCCCCACCCUCCAGCCAAUUCAACAUCAAAGAGCCAACACUGGCAGAGGUCAGGAACACAGUCAGGGCUGCACGAACCAGUGCAGCACCAGGGCCGAGUGGCGUGCCAUACAAAGUUUACAAGCGCUGCCCGAGACUACUGCAGAGGCUGUGGAGGAUCAUCAGGACAGUAUGGCGAAGAGGCAGGGUAGCCAAGCAGUGGAGGCAUGCCGAAGGUGUCUGGAUACCGAAGGAGGAAAACGCAAGUGACAUCUCGCAGUUCCGAACCAUCUCACUGCUCAGUGUAGAGGGCAAGAUCUUUUUCAAGAUCCUUGCCAACCGCAUGACAGAGUUUCUCCUGAAGAAUUCAUACAUCGACACCAGCGUGCAGAAAGGGGGAGUUCCAGGCUUUCCAGGCUGCAUUGAACACACUGGAGUUGUUACCCAGCUGAUCCGAGAGGUGAGACAAAACCGAGGAGAUUUGUCAGUCAUCUGGCUCGACCUGGCAAAUGCCUACGGAUCCAUUCCUCACAAGCUGGUGACAAAAGCUCUGACUAUGCACCAUGUCCCGCAGAAGAUCACAGAUCUCAUACAAGACUAUUACAACAGUUUUAGCAUGAGAUUCACCUCUGGAUCAAUAACGUCAGCAUGGCACCGUCUAGAAAAAGGCAUCGUCACUGGUUGUACCAUAUCAGUGACGCUGUUUGCUCUGGCAAUGACCAUGCUUGUCAAGGCAGCAGAAGUGGAAUGCAGAGGACCUCUCUCCAGAUCUGGCAUUCGCCAACCGCCAAUCAGAGCCUUUAUGGAUGACCUAACAGUCACAGCAACAUCAGUGCCAGGGUGCCGCUGGCUCCUUAAAGGUCUGGAACGGCUAACAUCUUGGGCGAGAAUGACAUUCAAGCCAGCCAAGUGCAGGUCCCUUGUGCUGAAGAAGGGGAAAGUGGAGGACAAGUUCCGCUUCCACAUGAACGGUCUUCAAAUCCCAUCUCUGACAGAGAAGCCGGUGAAAAGCUUGGGGAAGAUCUUUGAUGCUUCUCUGAGAGACACAGCAGCGAUCCAAGCUAUGCACUCAGAGCUGAAGACCUGGCUCACUGCGGUGGACAGAUCAGGCCUCCCAGGGAAGUUUAAAGCCUGGAUAUAUCAGCAUGGCAUCCUGCCAAGGCUUCUGUGGCCACUACUGAUGUGUACCAGGUCCCAGUUACAACAGUGGAGGCCUUAGAGCGAAACAUCAGCCAGUUCCUGCGCAGAUGGCUGGGCCUGCCGAAGAGUCUGAGCUGCAUUGCCCUUUAUGGGCACACCAACAAACUGCAGCUCCCAUUCUCAAGUCUGACAGAGGAGUUCAAAGUAACAAGAGCCAGGGAAGUGUUACUGUACAGAGACUCCUCCGACACCAGAGUCUCCUCUGCAGGCAUAGAGGUCAGGACUGGGAGGAAGUGGCGAGCGCAGGAGGCAGUCCAGCUGGCAGAGGCAAGGUUGCGGCAUGGUGCACUACUAGGCUCUGUGGCGGUUGGGCGAGCGGGACUCGGCUGCCAUAAAACACCACGCUACGACAGAGCACAGGGGAGAGACAAGCGGCAGAUGAUCCAGGGUGAGGUCCGAGCAGAGGUGGAGGAGGAGCGGCACAGCAAGACUGUGGCCAUGCGCCAGCAAAGAGCUUGGACCAAUUGGGACCAUGCACUGACUCGGAAAAUCACCUGGUCAGAACUUUGGAGGUCAGAGCCAGCAAGACUCAAGUUCCUGAUCCAGUCAGUGUAUGAUGUCCUCCCGAGUCCAUCUAACCUGCACUGCUGGGGUCUGGCAGAAACACCAUCAUGUCCACUCUGCCCCGCUAGAGGAACACUGGAGCACAUACUGAGCUGCUGCCCGAAAGCACUGGGAGAGGGGAGGUACAGGUGGCGCCAUGACCAGGUGCUGAAGGCAGUAGCUGACAUCAUCUGUGCUGGGAUCCAGCAAAGCAAGCACCAGCCUCCAGCAAGGCAUAACAUCACAUUCGUUAGGGCUGGGGAGAAACCACAGUCACAGCCAAAGGUCCCAGGUGGUCUUCUAUCCUCAGCGGGAGACUGGCAGUUGAAGGUGGACCUGGGGAGGCAAUUGAAGUUUCCAGAGCACAUCACCAGCACAACACUCAGGCCGGACAUGGUCUUAACAUCAGAGAGUUCGAAGCAGGUAGUGUUACUGGAACUGACAAUACCCUGGGAAGACCGGAUCGAGGUAGCCUAUGAGAGGAAGAAGGCUAAAUACCUGGAACUAGUGGAGGACU
This 5383-nucleotide long non-coding RNA is filed under the name Xyrichtys novacula (pearly razorfish). Lineage: Eukaryota; Metazoa; Chordata; Actinopteri; Labriformes; Labridae. The record is from RNAcentral.